RNAcentral lists this ribosomal RNA (254 nucleotides) under uncultured bacterium. RNAcentral's name for it is "partial 16S ribosomal RNA". It matches the Rfam family "Bacterial small subunit ribosomal RNA", at positions 524 to 776 of the family's 1533-position model. The record is from RNAcentral.
UACGUAGGGUGCGAGCGUUGUCCGGAAUUAUUGGGCGUAAAGGGCUCGUAGGCGGCCAACUAAGUCAGACGUGAAAUCCCUCGGCUUAACCGGGGAACUGCGUCUGAUACUGGAUGGCUUGAGAUUGGGAGAGGGAUGCGGAAUUCCAGGUGUAGCGGUGAAAUGCGUAGAUAUCUGGAGGAACACCGGUGGCGAAGGCGGCAUCCUGGACCAACACUGACGCUGAGUGAGCGAAAGCCAGGGGAGCAAACGGG